Tympanuchus pallidicinctus (lesser prairie-chicken) is the source of this 3889-nucleotide long non-coding RNA. RefSeq lists it as uncharacterized. Lineage: Eukaryota; Metazoa; Chordata; Aves; Galliformes; Phasianidae. The record is from RefSeq and is a predicted model, not a curated record. The transcript is spliced from 5 exons.
CAUCAUGUGAUAGGGAAUUAACAAGCAGUUAACGAGAUAAUGAGGAGGAGAGUUCAGCCCCUCCUGGGGCUAUAAGUAUAGAUGUAGUGUCUGACCCUUAUUUUUUGGUUUGUACGGCCCUGAGCAUCGUAGAAGCCUUUGUCUGCAGUGCUGCAGUCUUCAGCAGUGGGAGAUAAAGAGCAGAAGCUGAGGAUGUCGUGAAACAACAACAGCAACGCACACGUGGAAAUGGAGGUGGCUCAGGGAAUGCAUCGAUUGCAAAAAGAAUGAGGGGGGGAAAAAAGGAAACAAAAGCGAAGUCAUCGUGCACAAAUACCCUCUGCUCAGUGGUUUUUGGCUGCAAGGCUUAGGGCAGGACUGCAGCAGCUUGGGAUGCACACCCCUGGGGCUGUUGGCCGAUGGGCACUUGAAUUCUCCGGCGUUUGCACAUCUCAUGCCAUACAUUUUUUUUCUGAGAGCACUCAGGGCUGGGGGACGCUUGGGAGGCUGCACAAGAGGAGGCUUUUUGUUCCUGACAUCGCCACGGCUGCAUCGCUGGAGGACAAUGAGCCGCUUCUUGCAGCCUGGGCUGGCAUCUUGGCUUACUAAGGUUUUGCCCUGUGGAGGAAUGUUCCCCUAAAAUACAGUGGAUGGCUGCAGCAGCGUUAAAGACUCCAAUGAAGGUGACAGCUUGCAGUCCUGGGAAAAGGGAAUGCUGCCUUUGCUGCCUGUUAGUGGGAUUGAGCCCUGUGUUGCUGCAGUACGAAGCUCCACGGCCUCGUUCACAUCAAUCCCUGGGGUGCAAAGAGGUGUCAAACGCUUCUGGCUGCUUUGCGGAGAGGAAACGCUGCUUUUCCGGCAGUGAGCAGGAGGUCUGUGGGGGUUUAGUGCAGCUGUUGUGCGCUGUGAUGGCUUUCAGAUCCUAUCCUGUCCCAAGCGCCGAUCGUGGCUCAGGGCUGAUGAUGCCGGAUGGUUUUUAUAUCUAUCUGCCAUUUCAGGCUGUGUUUUUGCAAUGAGGAUGGAUUUUCCCACUGAGUUGCACUGGGCUUGAGAUGCUGAGUGUGGAGACUGCAGCUUCAAAAUAAGCAGAAGAACACAGAGCCUCCAUCCCAGCUCCGGAGAUGUAAUUCCCUAUCCCCACUGGGAGAAUUCAGACUUACUUUCAUCCCCCUGAAUUUAGAGGCUGGAUCAGGGACAAUGGGAAACGUGCUGUGUCCUCAACACCGUACAGCAGCACUUCAGCCGGUGCUGCUGCUAGCGUCACCCUGCCUGAAGUGCCCUCCGGCUGUUCCCUGCACAAAGGGCCCAUUUUCUUCCAGUUUUGCCAUUUUUGAAAGCUGCCGCUGAGCCUUCGCCCCAUGGGUGUCACCAACCCUGGGCCGGGGGAGAGGGGGUGGAGCAUAAAUGGGGUCCAGCAGAUCUCCUGGGGGAUUCAGAUGCCCCAUUGUGAUUCAGGGGGGACGUUGGGGAUUAUUGACAAACCAGCUCAUCGGUGAUCACCCCAGUGCUGUGGUUUGCACUGUGGUUUCUGGGACCUUUCCCAAUUAUCGCCAUUUUCACGUGUUGUUUUCCCUCUUUGGGAAAUGCUUGUUUUGCAUGGUGAGGGAAAAGGAACGGAGCAGCAUAAUCUGCAGCAGGGGACGUGCCCAUAAUGGAUGCACGGUGUGGAGCCAUCCUGGCCAGUGGGAUGCUCACAAAUCCUGAGUUUAAUGCCUGAAUUGUGCCCUAGUGAACCCCACGCUGACAAGCAUAAGUAUCAUGGUGUUUAUAAUGGCUUUGUCGCGGGUUAAGAAGGUAUUUGAUGAGGCGAAGCAAGACAAAGACCUCCUGGGGCGAAGUCAUCCUUUGGGUAAAUGCCAGCGCUGGUGAAGGGAGAAGACUACAUCUCCCAGGGUGCCCUACGGCCAUCAUGGCCGCCAGAUUGUGCGGUGCUAAAUACUACCAAUCCCAGAAUGCAACGCUGUCCAACAUGGCUUACCAAAAGUGCUUCCGGAAGACUACAUGUCCCAGCUCCUGGCUGGAGGACUACAGCUCCCAAUACGCUGUCACGUUCCGACAGGCUUGGCCCAGCAGAGGUGUGGCCCAGUCAACGGCGGUGACAUCGCUUCUGCCGCCCGCUCCUCGCAGCGCUGCCGCUCCGGGUCUCUGGAGGGAGCAGCAGCUCACCCAAGGCCUACUGGGCGCCUCAGCAAGGGGUAGUGCGCAUGCGUCGGGCCGCGACGCGCGCGCGCAGCCUCACUGCGCAUGCGUUCUUCGCGCAAUCGGCGCGCGAGUUUUCCGGGCGCAGCAACGCGCAUGCUUGCCAUUCAGGCAGACGGCACCGCGCUUGCGCGGCAGCAGGGCAGGGCGAGCGGCUGUUUUGCGCAUGCGUCCCGCCGUAGGGUGGAAGCGCCCAUGCGCGGAGCCGCGCGCUCUGAGGCUGAGGAGCAGCCGCUGCCUCGCCCCGCUCCGGGCGGCAGAGGGCAGCGCUGGCGCGGAGCUCUGUGGAGAAGCGAAGUCUUUCUUGUCUUUGCGCACUUGGGCUCCGCGCUGACUGACUCAUAAGAACGCUCGAGGCCCAAAGUGAACGUGAUUUUAUUGUCUGUCGGUUCUGGAUGUUCUGGGGACUAUUCCAAGGGGACGACAGAGACAGGUUUUCUUCUUGCUCUUUGACGCUGUAAGGAGGAGUGGGGACUUCAAAUGUAGCAUGAAACUGAGAAUAAUCGACACGGAAAAAGCCAUCUUCCAGGGACAUCACUGGGAGGAAUCUGUGACCCCAAAGAACUUCAUCUUCCGUAUAUGAGGUCCUAGCUUGGCAAGUCAUUCCUGUGGAGGCAGAGACAAGAGAAUGACGUUGUAACAUAAGCAAAAACUGUGAUGUACAUGCAAGGACUUUAAGGUAAGCAGCAUAGUAAUGGCAAAGCACAUCUGGUGAAUCUCAUUUGCACAGAGUUGUCCAAAUCAAUGUUACUGAUGAUAAUGCUAAUGAUGCUUCCCUUCCCAAUUACUACAUGCCACGUACCACAUGGUAUUUCUUAUUGGUGUAAUUCAGCUAAGUUCCCCAUUUGCAUCAUUUCAUUGGUCUAUUAAAAAUACUGAUGGGUUAGGUGUUUUUUUGUUGGUUUUUUUUCUAGCUUCCUAAAAUUUUCCUAGCAUUCAAAACAACUGAGAACAUGCAGCAGUUGACCAGGCAGGUCCUCCACUGAUGGCUUCAAACUGCUGGAAACCGAUUGUUAAAAUUAAAGCUUUGCAGAGCCUAUUUAAGAUCCUAUUAUUUAAAAUCCUUUCUGUUUUAUUGCUCGAUUAGAAAGCACGUGAUUGUUUGAGAAGCUUAUUAUUGAUCAUGAAUGAGAGAUAAUUGCGUAGCUGCUAGUUUGUUCUGUCUGUUUUGAUAAAUGUGUUGGUUCCAUUACGUGGAAACUCCGUCCAUUAGUGAUAGGGAACAAGCUGAAGCAAGCAGUUUUGCUGUUGACUCCAAUCUAAUAGGUUUUCUUCAGGGGAAAGAAAGUUUCUAUCUUUAACAACAACAAAUCCCAAGCAACAGCUGUACUUUGAGAUUGUCUCUCUGAUUUCUGGUGUAUUAAAAAAGCUGAAUAUCUCACUGCCUGGCAUUUACUGUGAUUCCUGAACCAGUUUAGAUAGCUGGUGGAGUACUGAGCCUUACUCACACAAUACAAUACAAUGCAUUGUUUUAUUUAUCUGUUAUGUGUUUGGUAUUCUGCUCAAAUAAGUAAAUAAAUGUAUCUCCUCCUAAAUAACCGAAGUUGUCCCUUAGGUAAGAGAUGGUUUCUCCACGGCUGAGGAGGACAAGGGACACAUCAGCUGACUGCUUGUAAAAGCGUUCUCAGGCCUCACCUUGAUCAGCUUGCAGCGGAUCUGGGCAGAAACCAUGUGGCUGUUGCGGAGGUUGCCGACCCGGAACAUGAGGCAG